This 645-nucleotide ribosomal RNA is filed under the name Triticum aestivum (bread wheat). RNAcentral describes it as "partial small subunit ribosomal RNA". Lineage: Eukaryota; Viridiplantae; Streptophyta; Magnoliopsida; Poales; Poaceae. The record is from RNAcentral.
AUGAGGCACCUAAACAUCGGCUCCGAGAGGAAGCUUCGGAUGGCGCACACAGUGCUAAGAAGAUUUGCUUCAGAGAUGAUCGAGGAGAGGCGUAAGAUAACUCUCAAUGGGGGAAGAUGUGCAUUGAGUAAUGAUGAUGAACACAAGGAUAUUCUAUCUUCCUACAUAAAUGACCCAGACUACAAAGUCAAUGACUUGCUCCAUGCGGUGCUCCUUAGCUUCAUGCUUGCUGGGCGGGACAUGAUUGGUACCACUCUACCCUGGGUCUUCUCUCACCCAUUGCAUCACGCAAAUGGCCAUGAGGUGAAGGUCGGGGACACCAUCCUUAUAUCUCUCCACUCCAUGGGGAGAAUGGAAGACAUAUGGGGUAAAGACUGCCUUGACUAUAACCCGAAUAGGUGGUUGUCAAAGGAUGGAAACACCCUGACGUACGUACCAUCUCACAAGUUCUUGGCCUUCAACUCAGGCUCGAGGAUCUGCCCUGACAAGGAGAUUGCGGUUAUGCAGAUGAAGACCGUCGUUGCGACUGUGUUGUGGAACUUUGAUGUCGAGGUGGUGGAAGGGCAGAUCAUCCAGCCCAAGCCACCUUGUAUACUACAGAUGAAAAAUGGAUUUAUAGUUAAACUGAGGAAGCGAGAAUUGUAA